RNA transcript from Lycium barbarum (goji berry), 895 nucleotides. RefSeq lists it as uncharacterized. The record is from RefSeq and is a predicted model, not a curated record. The transcript is spliced from 3 exons. Lineage: Eukaryota; Viridiplantae; Streptophyta; Magnoliopsida; Solanales; Solanaceae.
UUGUGUCCUAUUAUCAUGUUUGAUCUUGGAAUUGUCAUGUUAAAUAUCUUACAAUGCAGAGAAUAAUACAUGAAUAAAUGAUCUCUUAACCGGCUACUAAACCACCCCUCAAAGUUAUUACUACUAUUAGCCAGACUGAGGAAGAGCCAAAAUAGCGAAUUUGCAACUGUUUGGAUAACGUGCUGUAUCAUCUCUCUAACAUAGCUAGCACUAUUCCUGUCCGCACAAAUUGGGCAACUAACAUUCAACAUUUCAAUUUGCCUUGCUUAUUCCGUCUUCACACAGCUCUAACCUGAAAUGUACAUAUCAUCAAGAAUAUAUUCCCCUUAUAGACAUGAAAAAGAACCUUAAGAGAAGAAAGGUACUUACAAAACAAGCUAUUUAUGUUCACCCCUCAUCUUGUGCUGCAGAAUGUUAACACACCACUCUUCUUCGGGUUGAUCAUCAACAUUGGAGUUCUCAUUUCCUCACUCCAUUAUUGGGGCCAAUUUUGGACCCCUCUCUCAAGUCGCUUUUGAGGUGGUUGGGGACUCCAGCAGUGCGACAUAGUUUCAGGCAAGGUAACAAAGUAGGAGAUAGACUGUCCAAGCAGGGUUUAAAGUAUGGAACUUAUGAUCAACCAUCUGUUUUGCUAUCACCUCCCACAAGCGUCACCAACUUUUUGGAAGCUGAUAAGCAAGGAGUGACGACUCCAAAAUUAGUAUCUAUAUCAUCGUGUAAUAGCUUAGCUAGUUUAGGCAAUCUAAGUGUUUUAGCUAUCAAUGAUAGCACGUCUGUUACUAGUUCAUCUUAUGUAACUACCUAGUAUUAAAAAAAAUCCGUUCAACCAAAAAAAAAAAAAAGAGAAAGGUAAAUGGAUAGGUUUUACCUCUUACACGUGGCAUCUUUAGUUAAU